Transfer RNA from Ovis aries (sheep), 72 nucleotides. It matches the Rfam family "tRNA". From Rfam's summary of the family: Transfer RNA (tRNA) molecules are approximately 80 nucleotides in length. Their secondary structure includes four short double-helical elements and three loops (D, anti-codon, and T loops). Further hydrogen bonds mediate the characteristic L-shaped molecular structure. tRNAs have two regions of fundamental functional importance: the anti-codon, which is responsible for specific mRNA codon recognition, and the 3' end, to which the tRNAs corresponding amino acid is attached (by aminoacyl-tRNA synthetases). tRNAs cope with the degeneracy of the genetic code in two manners: having more than one tRNA (with a specific anti-codon) for a particular amino acid; and 'wobble' base-pairing, i.e. permitting non-standard base-pairing at the 3rd anti-codon position. NCBI's taxonomy places the organism in Eukaryota, Metazoa, Chordata, Mammalia, Artiodactyla, Bovidae. The record is from Rfam.
UCUCUGGUGGCUUAGAUGGUAGAGCGUCUGCCUACAAUGCAGGAGACCUGGGUUCAAUCCCUAGGUUGGGAA